GCCUCCACCCACCCAGAAAACGUAUCCACCAGUACCAGGAAGUAUCGGUAAUCUCCAGCAGCGCGGGGCGUUCGGGUGAAGCCCAUCUGCCAGUCUUCCAUCGGCCAUUGCCCUGUGUGUCAGACUCCUCAUUGUGGAGGCCCUGGAGCAGUUUUGGGGAGCGGGUAGAGGAGAGCCUCAGGCACAAGAAUUCUUCCUUGGUCGUUCAUCUUCCAGCCUGUCUGCGGGUCUGAGAGGAAACCUCAGUCUCUUGCACAUUCUGAGUCCCUUUCUGAAUCACCCUGUGGGCAUGGACCACUGAAGAUGCAUAACCGGAAUCUGUAUAAGCAGUCACCUUUUUCCCCAAGAUAGUUGUAAGGCUCGGGCUAGGGCUAUGAUUUCUGCCUUUUGAGUUGAGGUUCCUGGAGGCAGGGCUGCAGCUUCUAAAGUCUCACGUAAAGUCAC
Equus quagga is the source of this 444-nucleotide long non-coding RNA. RefSeq lists it as uncharacterized. NCBI's taxonomy places the organism in Eukaryota, Metazoa, Chordata, Mammalia, Perissodactyla, Equidae. The record is from RefSeq and is a predicted model, not a curated record. The transcript has 3 exons.